This is a long non-coding RNA of Gambusia affinis (western mosquitofish), 480 nucleotides long. RefSeq lists it as uncharacterized. Lineage: Eukaryota; Metazoa; Chordata; Actinopteri; Cyprinodontiformes; Poeciliidae. The transcript is spliced from 3 exons. The record is from RefSeq and is a predicted model, not a curated record.
GCCGACCACGGUGCUGAGGAGGUCAGAGGUCAGGUCGAUGGCAUCUGAGGGGUGGCUGGCUGGCUGGCAGCAGCAAACUGCAUCUGCACGGUAAGUUUUGGCCUUUGUCUCCCUGAUGCUCCGCCCCGCCAUCGUCCCGAGCUGAUUGGCCGUGGGCCGGGCCGGGCCCAGCUUCGGACGACUCGAGCGUCCCCGGCGUCGCUGUCUGCAUGAUCUUCUGACGAACCUCGCGGAUCUUCAACUGCAGACACAACUUGGUGGGGAAUGUGUCCGGGUAGCGCGCCUGGAAGGAAGCCGUGGCCUGAGCUGCAGAGACGAGACAGAGAAGAGGAGGACAAUGGCAGAUGGUGGAUCUACCUGAAGGAAAGAAGCCGUGUUCCUGAAAAAGCUGCAUGACCAGCGCGCGACGUUGGUCCAGUGUCCUCCGCAGAGACGAGUACGGAACCCUGUCCGGGUCUCCCAGGGGGACGUCGGCUUCCG